Molecule: ribosomal RNA, 253 nt
Filed under: uncultured bacterium
Lineage: Bacteria
Description: partial 16S ribosomal RNA
Rfam family: Bacterial small subunit ribosomal RNA
Source: RNAcentral
UACGAGAGGCCCAAACGUUAUUCGGAUUUACUGGGCGUAAAGCGCACGUAGGCGGCUUUUUAAGUCGGGGGUGAAAUCCUGGAGCUCAACUCCAGAACUGCCUUCGAUACUGAAGAGCUUGAGUUCGGGAGAGGUGAGUGGAACUGCGAGUGUAGAGGUGAAAUUCGUAGAUAUUCGCAAGAACACCAGUGGCGAAGGCGGCUCACUGGCCCGAUACUGACGCUGAGGUGCGAAAGCUAGGGUAGCGAACGGG